Molecule: ribosomal RNA, 1051 nt
Filed under: uncultured Methanosarcina sp.
Lineage: Archaea; Methanobacteriati; Methanobacteriota; Methanomicrobia; Methanosarcinales; Methanosarcinaceae
Description: bacterial SSU rRNA
Rfam family: Archaeal small subunit ribosomal RNA
Source: RNAcentral
UCUGUUUGAUCCUGCCAGAGGUUACUGCUAUCGGUGUUCGACUAAGCCAUGCAAGUCAUAUGUUCUUCGUGAACAUGGCAUACUGCUCAGUAACACGUGGAUAACCUGCCCUUGGGUCUGGGAUAACCCCGGGAAACUGGGGAUAAUACCGGAUAACGCAUAUGUGCUGGAAUGCUUAUGCGUAAAACGGAUUCGUCCGCCCAAGGAUGGGUCUGCGGCCUAUCAGGUAGUAGUGGGUGUAAUGUACCUACUAGCCAACAACGGGUACGGGUUGUGAGAGCAAGAGCCCGGAGAUGGAUUCUGAGACAUGAAUCCAGGCCCUACGGGGCGCAGCAGGCGCGAAAACUUUACAAUGCGGGAAACCGUGAUAAGGGAACACCGAGUGCCAGCAUCAUAUGCUGGCUGUCCAGAUGUGUAAAGUACAUCUGUUAGCAAGGGCCGGGCAAGACCGGUGCCAGCCGCCGCGGUAACACCGGCGGCCCGAGUGGUGACCGUUAUUAUUGGGUCUAAAGGGUCCGUAGCCGGUUUGGUCAGUCCUCCGGGAAAUCUGAUAGCUUAACUGUUAGGCUUUCGGGGGAUACUGCCAGGCUUGGAACCGGGAGAGGUAAGAGGUACUACAGGGGUAGGAGUGAAAUCUUGUAAUCCCUGUGAGACCACCUGUGGCGAAGGCGUCUUACCAGAACGGGUUCGACGGUGAGGGACGAAAGCUGGGGGCACGAACCGGAUUAGAUACCCGGGUAGUCCCAGCCGUAAACUAUGCUCGCUAGGUGUCAGGCAUGGCGCGACCGUGUCUGGUGCCGCAGGGAAGCCGUGAAGCGAGCCACCUGGGAAGUACGGCCGCAAGGCUGAAACUUAAAGGAAUUGGCGGGGGAGCACAACAACGGGUGGAGCCUGCGGUUUAAUUGGACUCAACGCCGGACAACUCACCGGGGACGACAGCAAAAUGUAGGCCAGGCUGAAGACCUUGCCUGAGUCGCUGAGAGGAGGUGCAUGGCCGUCGCCAGUUCGUACUGUGAAGCAUCCUGUUAAGUCAGGCAACGAGCGAGACCCA